RNAcentral lists this ribosomal RNA (616 nucleotides) under uncultured bacterium. RNAcentral's name for it is "bacterial SSU rRNA". The stretch from base 1 to 539 matches the Rfam family "Bacterial small subunit ribosomal RNA", at positions 338 to 873 of the family's 1533-position model. The record is from RNAcentral.
CCUACGGGAGGCAGCAGUGGGGAAUUUUGGACAAUGGGGGCAACCCUGAUCCAGCAAUGCCGCGUGAGUGAAGAAGGCCUUCGGGUUGUAAAGCUCUUUUGUCAGGGAAGAAACAGCAGCUCUAACACAGCUGUGAAUGACGGUACCUGAAGAAUAAGCACCGGCUAACUACGUGCCAGCAGCCGCGGUAAUACGUAGGGUGCAAGCGUUAAUCGGAAUUACUGGGCGUAAAGCGUGCGCAGGCGGUUAUAUAAGACAGGUGUGAAAUCCCCGGGCUUAACCUGGGAAUUGCAUCUGUGACUGUAUAGCUAGAGUGUGUCAGAGGGGGGUAGAAUUCCACGUGUAGCAGUGAAAUGCGUAGAUAUGUGGAGGAAUACCAAUGGCGAAGGCAGCCCCCUGGGAUAACACUGACGCUCAUGCACGAAAGCGUGGGGAGCAAACAGGAUUAGAUACCCUGGUAGUCCACGCCCUAAACGAUGCUGACUAGUUGUUCGGGAUUUUAUCCUGAGUAACGUAGCUAACGCGUGAAGUCGAGCGCCGUGGGUAGGUUAGGUUCGUCGAGAGUAAACUUACANAGAGUUAGAGCGNGAGAGNGCGAGCGACGACGAGGAGGAGG